UGGGGAAUCUUGGACAAUGGGGGCAACCCUGAUCCAGCCAUGCCGCGUGAGUGAUGAAGGCCUUAGGGUCGUAAAGCUCUUUCGCCUGUGAAGAUAAUGACGGUAGCAGGUAAAGAAACCCCGGCUAACUCCGUGCCAGCAGCCGCGGUAAUACGGAGGGGGUUAGCGUUGUUCGGAAUUACUGGGCGUAAAGCGCACGUAGGCGGACCAGAAAGUUGGGGGUGAAAUCCCGGGGGCUCAACCCCGGAACUGCCUCCAAAACUAUUGGUCUAGAGUUCGAGAGAGGUGAGUGGAAUUCCAAGUGUAGAGGUGAAAUUCGUAGAUAUUUGGAGGAACACCAGUGGCGAAGGCGGCUCACUGGCUCGAUACUGACGCUGAGGUGCGAAAAGUGUGGGGAGCAAAACAGGAUUAGAUACCCUGGUAGUCCACACCGUAAAACGAUGAAUGCCAGUCGUCGGGUAGCAUCUAUUCGGUGACACACCUAACGGAUUAAGCAUUCCGCCUGGGGAGUACGGUCGCAAGACU
RNAcentral lists this ribosomal RNA (525 nucleotides) under uncultured bacterium. Its description in RNAcentral is "bacterial SSU rRNA". It matches the Rfam family "Bacterial small subunit ribosomal RNA", at positions 355 to 895 of the family's 1533-position model. The record is from RNAcentral.